ACUUAAGCAUAUCAAUAAGCGGAGGAAAAGAAACCAACAGGGAUUGCUCUAGUAACGGCGAGUGAAGCAGCAAUAGCUCAAAUUUGAAAUCUGGCGUCUUCGACGUCCGAGUUGUAAUUUGUAGAGGAUGCUUCUGAGUAACCACCGACCUAAGUUCCUUGGAACAGGACGUCAUAGAGGGUGAGAAUCCCGUAUGCGGUCGGAAAGGUGCUCUAUACGUAGCUCCUUCGACGAGUCGAGUUGUUUGGGAGUGCAGCUCUAAAUGGGAGGUAAAUUUCUUCUAAAGCUAAAUAUUGGCCAGAGACCGAUAGCGCACAAGUAGAGUGAUCGAAAGAUGAAAAGCACUUUGGAAAGAGAGUUAAAAAGCACGUGAAAUUGUUAAAAGGGAAGGGAUUGCAACCAGACUUGCUCGCGGUGUUCCGCCGGUCUUCUGACCGGUCUACUCGCCGCGUUGCAGGCCAGCAUCGUCUGGUGCCGCUGGAUAAGACUUGAGGAAUGUAGCUCCCUCGGG
RNAcentral lists this ribosomal RNA (511 nucleotides) under uncultured fungus. Its description in RNAcentral is "LSU rRNA". It matches the Rfam family "Eukaryotic large subunit ribosomal RNA", at positions 32 to 548 of the family's 3401-position model. Lineage: Eukaryota; Fungi. The record is from RNAcentral.